GACGAACGCUGGCGGCGUGCCUAAUACAUGCAAGUCGAACGCAGUGGGGACGGGUGAGUAACACGUGGGUAACCUCCCAUCAGAGGGGAUAACACUUGGAAACAGGUGCUAAACCGAUACUGAUGGAUGGACCCGCGGUGCAUUAGCUAGUUGGUGGGGUAACGGCUCACCAAGGCAAAGAUGCAUAGCCGACCUGAGAGGGUGAUCGGCCACAAUGGGACUGAGACACGGCCCAGACGCCUACGGGAGGCAGCAGUAGGGAAUCUUCGGCAAUGGACGAAAGUCUGACCGAGCAAUGCCGCGUGAGUGAAGAAGGUUUUCGGAUCGUAAAGCUCUGUUGUUAGAGAAGCGGUAUCUAACCAUAAAGCGCCGGCGAACUACGUGCCAGCAGCCGCGGUAAUUC
This 403-nucleotide ribosomal RNA is filed under the name uncultured bacterium. Its description in RNAcentral is "partial 16S ribosomal RNA". It matches the Rfam family "Bacterial small subunit ribosomal RNA", at positions 28 to 526 of the family's 1533-position model. The record is from RNAcentral.